UACAGAGGUCUCAAGCGUUGCUCGGAAUCACUGGGCGUAAAGGGUGCGUAGGCGGGUCUUUAAGUCAGAGGUGAAAUCCUGGAGCUCAACUCCAGAACUGCCUUUGAUACUGAAGAUCUUGAGUUCGGGAGAGGUGAGUGGAACUGCGAGUGUAGAGGUGAAAUUCGUAGAUAUUCGCAAGAACACCAGUGGCGAAGGCGGCUCACUGGCCCGAUACUGACGCUGAGGCACGAAAGCGUGGGGAGCAAACAGG
RNAcentral lists this ribosomal RNA (253 nucleotides) under uncultured bacterium. RNAcentral describes it as "partial 16S ribosomal RNA". It matches the Rfam family "Bacterial small subunit ribosomal RNA", at positions 524 to 776 of the family's 1533-position model. The record is from RNAcentral.